Molecule: ribosomal RNA, 1239 nt
Filed under: Karenia brevis
Lineage: Eukaryota; Dinophyceae; Gymnodiniales; Kareniaceae
Description: partial Bacterial small subunit ribosomal RNA
Rfam family: Bacterial small subunit ribosomal RNA
Source: RNAcentral
UCCUAGGGACGAGCUUGCGCCUGAUUAGUUAGUUGGCGAGGUAAUGGCUCACCAAGACUAUGAUCAGUAGCUGGUUUGAGAGAGCGGUCAGCCACAUUGGGAUUGAGAUACGGCCCAAACUUCUUCGGGGGGCAGCAGUCGGGAAUUUUCCGCAAUGGGCGCAAGCCUGACGGAGCGAUGCCUUGUGGAGGAUGAAGGAUCAUAAAGGUUCGUAAACUCCUUUUAUUAAGGAACAUUAAUUGUCGUUUCCGUAUUUAGAUAGUACUUAAAGAAUCAAGUAUCGGCUAACUCUGUGCCAGCAGCCGCGGUAAUACGGGGGAUGCAAACGUUGUCCAGUUGUAUUGGGCGUAAAGCGUCCGUAGGUGGACUGGUAAGUUUAUUGUUAAAGAUUCUGGCUCAACCAGGAAAAAGCAAUGAAAACUGCUGGACUAGAGAGUGGACGGGGUGAAGAGAAUAUCUAGUGGAGCGGUAAAAUGCGAUGAUAUUAGGCGGAACACCAGUGGCGAAAGCGCUUCACUAGACCAUUUCUGACACUGAGGGACGAAAGCUAGGGGAGCAAAAAGGAUUAGGUACCCUUGUAGUCCUAUCGCUGUAAACGCUGGGUACUAGAUGUCGCAGUGGUGCGGUGUCUUAGCUAACGCGUUAAGUACCCCGCCUGGGGAGUACGCUCGCAAGGGUGAAACUCAAAGGAAUUGACGGGACCCCUCGCAAGCGGUGGAGCAUGCUGUUUAAUUCGAUCAACGCGAAGAACCUUACCUAGAUUUGACCUUCUAUAAAUCUCCAUGAAAAUGGAGGAAACCAAACUUACAUGGUGUAAAAGCUUCUUAGGGAGCAGUAGUUACAGGUGGUGCAUGGCUGUCGUCAGUUCGUGUCGUGAGAUGUCAGGUUAAGUCCUAGUAACGAACGCAACCCUUAUCCUUAGUUAAUUAUAUGUCUAGGGAAACGGCCAACGAUCAAGUUGGAGGAAGGAGAGGAUGACGUCAAGUCAGCAUGCCCCGUAUGUCUAGGGCUACAAGCGUGCUACAAUGACUAUUCAACAAAAAGUCGCAACUUUGUGAAAGGAAGCGAAUCUACAAAUGAGGUCACAGUUCGGAUUGUAGGCUGCAACUCGGCUACAUGAAGUCGGAAUCGCUAGUAAUCGCUGGUCAGCUAUACAGCGGUGAACUUGUUUCAGGGGUUUGUACACACCGCCCGUCACACCCCUGAAGUUGACUAUACCAGGCGUCGUUGUCUUAACCA